UACAGAGGUCUCAAGCGUUGUUCGGAUUCAUUGGGCGUAAAGGGUGCGUAGGCGGCGCGGUAAGUCGGGUGUGAAAUCUCGGAGCUUAACUCCGAAACUGCGUUCGAUACUGCCGUGCUUGAGGACUGGAGAGGAGACUGGAAUUCAUGGUGUAGCAGUGAAAUGCGUAGAGAUCAUGAGGAAGACCAGUGGCGAAGGCGGGUCUCUGGACAGUUCCUGACACUGAGGCGCGAAGGCCAGGGGAGCAAACGGG
This 253-nucleotide ribosomal RNA is filed under the name uncultured bacterium. RNAcentral describes it as "partial 16S ribosomal RNA". It matches the Rfam family "Bacterial small subunit ribosomal RNA", at positions 524 to 776 of the family's 1533-position model. The record is from RNAcentral.